RNAcentral lists this unclassified non-coding RNA (148 nucleotides) under soil metagenome. RNAcentral describes it as "partial internal transcribed spacer 1". The record is from RNAcentral.
CCGAGUUUACAACUCCCAAACCCCUGUGAACAUACCUAUACGCUGCCUCGGCGGAUCAGCCCGCGCCCCGUAAAAAGGGACGGCCCGCCCGAGGACCCCUAAACUCUGUUUUUAGUGGAACUUCUGAGUAAAACAAACAAAUAAAUCA